AGAGAGAAGCUUGCUUCUCUGCUGACGAGCGGCGGACGGGUGAGUAAUGCCUAGGAAUCUGCCUGGUAGUGGGGGAUAACUUGCCGAAAGGUAAGCUAAUACCGCAUACGUCCUACGGGAGAAAGGAGGGGACCUUCGGGCCUUUCGCUAUUAGAUGAGCCUAGGUCGGAUUAGCUAGUUGGUGAGGUAAAGGCUCACCAAGGCGACGAUCCGUAACUGGUCUGAGAGGAUGAUCAGUCACACUGGAACUGAGACACGGUCCAGACUCC
RNAcentral lists this ribosomal RNA (269 nucleotides) under uncultured Pseudomonadaceae bacterium. Its description in RNAcentral is "partial 16S ribosomal RNA". It matches the Rfam family "Bacterial small subunit ribosomal RNA", at positions 70 to 339 of the family's 1533-position model. Lineage: Bacteria; Pseudomonadati; Pseudomonadota; Gammaproteobacteria; Pseudomonadales; Pseudomonadaceae. The record is from RNAcentral.